RNAcentral lists this non-coding RNA (30 nucleotides) under Mus musculus (house mouse). The record is from RNAcentral. Lineage: Eukaryota; Metazoa; Chordata; Mammalia; Rodentia; Muridae.
UGGGAUUCUUUCAGGCCCAAAGGUUCUCUC